RNAcentral lists this ribosomal RNA (741 nucleotides) under uncultured Candidatus Poseidoniales archaeon. RNAcentral's name for it is "bacterial SSU rRNA". It matches the Rfam family "Archaeal small subunit ribosomal RNA", at positions 102 to 857 of the family's 1478-position model. The record is from RNAcentral. Lineage: Archaea; Methanobacteriati; Thermoplasmatota; Candidatus Poseidoniia; Candidatus Poseidoniales.
GGAUAACCUGCCCUAUUGUCUGGAAUAACCUCGGGAAACUGAGAACAAGGCCGGAUAACCCACAAUGCCUGGAACGGUUUGUGGGUGAAGAUAGGAUGGGUCUGCGGCGUAUCAGGUCGUAGGGGGUGUAAUGGACCUCCUAGCCAUCGACGCGUACGGGUGUUGGGAGACAUAGCCCGGAGAUGGAUUCUGAGACACGAAUCCAGACCCUACGGGGUGCAGCAGGCGCGAAAACUUCACACUGCAGGAAACUGUGAUGAGGGAACUCCAAGUGCAUCCACUAUGUGGAUGCUUUUUUUGACUAUUAAUCGGUCAACGAAUAAGGGCUGGGAAAGACCGGUGCCAGCCGCCGCGGUAAUACCGGCAGCUCAAGUGGUCGUCGCUUUUAUUGGGCCUAAAACGUCCGUAGCCUGUUUGGUAAAUCUGUGGGUAAAUCAACCAGCUUAACUGGUUGAAUUCUGCAGAGACUGCCAGACUAGGGACCGGGAGAGGUGUGGGGUACUCUAGGGGUAGGGGUAAAAUCCUGUCAUCCUUAGAGGACCACCAGUUGCGAAGGCGCCACACUGGAACGGAUCCGACGGUCAGGGACGAAGCCUAGGGGCACGAACCGGAUUAGAUACCCGGGUAGUCCUAGGUGUAAGCGCUGUGAACUUGGUGUCGGGGAUCCGCAAUGGGUCCUCGGUGCCGGAGUGAAGAUGUUAAGUUCACUGCCUGGGGAGUACGGUCGCAAGGCUGAAACUU